GCCCGGCUAGCUCAAUCGGUAGAGCGUGAGACUCUUAAGGAUCCCCUUCCAGUCUCCUUCAUCUCAAGGUUGUGGGUUCGACCCCCACGUCGGGCU
Molecule: non-coding RNA, 96 nt
Organism: Staphylotrichum longicolle
Lineage: Eukaryota; Fungi; Ascomycota; Sordariomycetes; Sordariales; Chaetomiaceae
Source: the annotation of a GenBank genome assembly